AACGCACAUUGCACCCUCUGGUAAUCCAGAGGGUAUGCCUGUUUGAGUGUCAUUAGCAACAUCAAAUCCAGAUUUUGCUCUGUGAUUUGGACUUUGAAGGCUCUGCUGACUGUUAAAGUCAGCUCCUUUUAAAUGCAUUAGCAGGUUGCAAGCAACUGGCCCCAGUUUGAUAGACUUUAAUCAUCUGUGCUGUCGCUAGUAGUUUUGACCGCUGCGAAUUGUCUUUGGACUUGCCAUCAGGCAAUACAUUUAAGUCUUGACCUCAAAUCAGGUAGGAUUACCCGCUGAACUUAA
RNAcentral lists this unclassified non-coding RNA (294 nucleotides) under uncultured Clavaria. Its description in RNAcentral is "sequence contains ITS2". The stretch from base 1 to 52 matches the Rfam family "5.8S ribosomal RNA", at positions 103 to 154 of the family's 154-position model. The record is from RNAcentral. Lineage: Eukaryota; Fungi; Basidiomycota; Agaricomycetes; Agaricales; Clavariaceae.